UCGGUGGAGGAGAAGGCAUAGGUGCGGGAGCAGAGAGUGAGAGGCAAUGAGGUAGUGGUCGAGGGACAAUAUAAUUGAGGGUAGCUAGGUUUUCAAUGAAGCAGAGAGCUGAGGACAAGAGAUGAGAAUUAAGGAAGAACAAGGGUGGGCGGCUGAAAGGUUUGACGGGUUAGGGUUCAUUUCAUAAGGUUAUAUGUGUUUGGUUUGGUUUGGUUUUUCCGUUUGUUAAUGAUUUAACCAAACCUAUCGGAAGCGAAAAUCGAAAUUACCUAAAACUGAACCGCAUUGAUUAAACUGAAAAAUAAAACUGAACCGGUUCGGGUUUAACUGGAAACUGAACAGCCCUAUGUGAAGGAAGUUAGGAUCCUAGUAUGUGGUAUUAAUUGCUUUGCUUGUGGCAUAUGUUUUUGAAAUGAAGUGUUGGAAGCAGAAAAUAUCCGUCCGUAAAUUGGCUAUUUAAAGGACUUAGGGUUUUUCUCACCCCUUAUAGGCAGAUUUUUCUUAUUUGGGCUUGUAAUUGAUAGUAUAUUUUGCAGGAAGCAAGCAGGGGAUUACAUUUCUGCUUAUGAACUGUGAAAAGUACACAAAAGUUAAUUGCUUACUAUAAACCUUCUAUUGCCCAUCUUUGGUGUUUGUUGAUUGCUUCUGAAAAUUGCCCAAUCUCCCUUUUGAGUGAAAAUCUUUCUCAAUGAAAGCUUUGAUAGUUGCAAUAGACCCUUUUUUUUCUGGUGUGGUUUGUGAGGCUUUAUCUUUGUCCAGUCAGAAUCUUCUUCUUUGGUUUCUUAGGGAUUAUCUGGGAUUGCGCGUGCAGUUGGCAUCACUGUUUUCUCAAU
Molecule: unclassified non-coding RNA, 833 nt
Filed under: Hevea brasiliensis (rubber tree)
Lineage: Eukaryota; Viridiplantae; Streptophyta; Magnoliopsida; Malpighiales; Euphorbiaceae
Source: RNAcentral